CCUACGGGUGGCAGCAGUGGGGAAUAUUGGACAAUGGGGGCAACCCUGAUCCAGCCAUGCCGCGUGUGUGAAGAAGGCCCUCGGGUUGUAAAGCACUUUCAGUGAGGAAGAACGCCUGGUGGUUAAUACCCAUCAGGAAAGACAUCACUCACAGAAGAAGCACUGGCUAACUCCGUGCCAGCAGCCGCGGUAAUACGGAGGGUGCGAGCGUUAAUCGGAAUUACUGGGCGUAAAGCGCGCGUAGGUGGCUUGAUAAGCCGGUUGUGAAAGCCCCGGGCUCAACCUGGGAACGGCAUCCGGAACUGUCAAGCUAGAGUGCAGGAGAGGAAGGUAGAAUUCCCGGUGUAGCGGUGAAAUGCGUAGAGAUCGGGAGGAAUACCAGUGGCGAAGGCGGCCUUCUGGACUGACACUGACACUGAGGUGCGAAAGCGUGGGUAGCAAACAGGAUUAGAUACCCUAGUAGUC
RNAcentral lists this ribosomal RNA (465 nucleotides) under Vreelandella stevensii. Its description in RNAcentral is "partial 16S ribosomal RNA". It matches the Rfam family "Bacterial small subunit ribosomal RNA", at positions 338 to 795 of the family's 1533-position model. The record is from RNAcentral. Lineage: Bacteria; Pseudomonadati; Pseudomonadota; Gammaproteobacteria; Oceanospirillales; Halomonadaceae.